UACAGAGGUGGCAAGCGUUGUUCGGAAUUACUGGGCGUAAAGGGCGAGUAGGUGGCCAUCUAAGUCAGACGUGAAAUCCCCCGGCUUAACCUGGGAACUGCGUCUGAUACUGGACGGCUUGAGUAUGGGAGAGGGAAGUGGAAUUCCCGGUGUAGUGGUGAAAUGCGUAGAUAUCGGGAGGAACACCAGUGGCGAAGGCGACUUCCUGGCCUGUUCUUGACGCUGAGGCGCGAAAGCUAGGGUAGCAAACGGG
RNAcentral lists this ribosomal RNA (253 nucleotides) under uncultured bacterium. RNAcentral's name for it is "partial 16S ribosomal RNA". It matches the Rfam family "Bacterial small subunit ribosomal RNA", at positions 524 to 776 of the family's 1533-position model. The record is from RNAcentral.